UUGGUCUUCCCACCAACUCCAUGAAAGUGGAUUUUAUUAUCCUCAUCAUGCAGAUGAGAAUAUUGAGACUUAUAGCGGUAUGCUUGAGCCCCAAAGUACUCAGAGUUGCCUGGCUCCAAGAUUUAUAAUCUUAAAUGAUGGGACUACCAUCCUUACUCUCUCCAUUUUUCUAUACGGUAAAAAACUUGUUGCUGCAAGUCAAGCUGCCUUAGGCUUAUAACAUCACAUUUAAAAGCAUCUCAGCCUACCAUGAGAAUAAGAGAAAGAAAAUGAAGAUCCAAAGCUUAUUCAUCUGUUUUUCUUUUUCGUUGGUGUAAAGCCAACACCCUGUCUAAAAAACAUAAAUUUCUUUAAUCAUUUUGCCUCUUU
This 369-nucleotide small RNA is filed under the name Pan troglodytes (chimpanzee). Its description in RNAcentral is "retained intron". Lineage: Eukaryota; Metazoa; Chordata; Mammalia; Primates; Hominidae. The record is from RNAcentral.